This 329-nucleotide ribosomal RNA is filed under the name uncultured Spirochaetota bacterium. RNAcentral's name for it is "bacterial SSU rRNA". It matches the Rfam family "Bacterial small subunit ribosomal RNA", at positions 28 to 350 of the family's 1533-position model. Lineage: Bacteria; Pseudomonadati; Spirochaetota. The record is from RNAcentral.
AACUAACGCUGGCGGCGCGUCUUAAGCAUGCAAGUCGGACGGGAACCGGGGGCUUCGGUCCCUGGGGAGAGUGGCGAACGGGUGAGUAACACGUAGGUGAUCUGUCCCUGGGUGGGGAAUAGCCCAUGGAAACAUGGGGUAAUACCGCAUAAGGUCCUGAGGCUGUGGUCUUUGGAUGAAAGGAGCAAUUGUUCCGCCUGGGGGUGAGCCUGCGGUCCAUUAGCUAGUUGGUGAGGUAAGAGCCCACCAAGGCGACGAUGGGUAGCCGGCCUGAGAGGGUGAACGGUCACACUGGAACUGAGACACGGUCCAGACUCCUACGGGAGGCU